Silurus meridionalis is the source of this 2894-nucleotide RNA transcript. It is a transcript of the gene named mical-like 2a, with no coding region annotated. The record is from RefSeq and is a predicted model, not a curated record. The transcript has 20 exons. Lineage: Eukaryota; Metazoa; Chordata; Actinopteri; Siluriformes; Siluridae.
GAAGUUUGGAGAGAAGGAUGGCGGCCAUCAAGGCUCUGCAGCAGUGGUGUAAAGUGCAAUGCGAUGGCUACAGAGAUGUGGAGAUAAUCAACAUGACCACCUCAUUCAGAGACGGACUGGCUUUCUGCGCCCUUAUUCACAAAUUCAGACCGGACCUCAUAAACUUUGAGUCCCUGAAUAAGGACAAUGUGUAUGACAACAACUGCUUGGCUUUUCGUGUGGCUGAGGAUCAUCUGGGGAUUCCAGCACUUCUGGAUGCAGAGGACAUGGUGGCUCUUCUCGUCCCGGACCGACUCAGCGUUCUCACUUAUGUCUCGCAGUACUACAACUACUUCAACGGUCGCACGCCUAUGGGAGGAGUCGGAGGUGUCAAGCGGCCGGCAGAGGACUCAAAAGAGGAGCCAUCAGAAAAGAAGAAUCUCCCUGUCACUGCCAAAACCUACAGCCCCAAACCUCAUCCAGUGUCUUCUUCUGUCACCUUUAAAGCUGCCCAAAACCGUCCACCAUCACAUAUCUUACAGAACAGCAGCUCAAACAAACAUGUCUCUACUACUCCGACAGAGGAGUACACCAUAGCAAAACACUCUAUCUCCAAAAACCUCAAAAAGACCUCUCCAACUACUGAUUCUUCAUCCAAAGACAGGAAUACUGAGAAGACUGUUUUAGACGAGAACUCCAAUAAAACUGGCACCCUGAACAGUAAGUGUGCGGUGUGCAGGAGUCACGUUCACUUGGUUCAGAGACACCUAGUGGAUGGAAAACUGUACCACAGGAGCUGCUUCAAGUGCUGUGAAUGUUCAGUUGCUUUACAGUCGGGGGCGUAUACAUCAGGCCAACAGCCUGGCACACUGCGCUGUUCUUCAUCCCGCUGCACUCAGAAUGACCUCAAGUCUUCAGCUAAGAGUAGUGGAUCGAUUGCGAUUGGACCAGAACCUGAGAGCAGAAGUGGGCCGUCACCACGGCAGCAUUCGUCAGUUCUGACCAGCCCUGUUAAACCUCUUCCUAGAUCAGUUCAGCCAACUCCAGCACCAGAACCAUGGACUGCUUCAGCUCUAAGGACUCAAGCUGCCAGGCAGAGGUUUUUCCUUUCAGCCUCGGAGGCCUCUACGACCCAGAACAUGAUUGAACCAAAGUGUAAAGAAGGAAAUGAGACAUCGAUCUCUCCAAAAUUGGCCAAAGGAAACUGCAACAAUAAUAACAAAGCUUAUAGCUGUGGACUCAGCCCAGACAAUGAAUCUGUUCAAGUCUUCAGCUCAAAGCAGGAAAGAUGUGGCUUAGGCACAGAAAUCAAAGCCGGACAUUUCUGCAUUUCUCUCACUAACACCUGCAGCAUGGAGACCUCAUGGCUGAGUGGCAUAAACAAAGAGCACACUAGACCUCCUUCUUCCCUCUUCAUUGCCAGAGAUGUAGGGUGCUGUGAAGGCCAAAAGUUGAAGACGGCUUCAAAUGAACCAGGAUUAAAAACGUUUUCUGAGGAUAAUGCUGUGACUCCUGAAGAAAACAAACUGGUCUGCCAUGAUAACCAGCUGAGUCACCAGUGCACUGCUUCAGUGCCAGGAUUCCAGACUACAAACACUGCACAUUUUGCUAAUUUCUAUACUCAUAAAUCUCCCAUCACAGACUCUGCUGUUUCAGGCUCUAAAUGUGAGCAUUCCUUAGCGAGCUCAUCACCCAGAUGCACACUGCCAUGUACAGAUCAACACCGUGGAGACCUAGCUGAAUCUAGUUGUAUAUCAGGAGGGGACAAAUUCUGUCCAUCCCUGCCACCUCUAGUGGAUGACAGAAUCUCCUUCAGACCUUUACAGCAUAGAAUUGCAUACUCUGCAGGACAAGCUGAAAAGGAAAGUGUGCCAUUUGAGAACAGUUCACAGCCCGAAACUGUGUCACUCACAAUCAAGCCUCACCACAUCCCAGUCGAGCAGAUCACUAAGGAGCUGCAGGAAAUUGAGAACAGCCUGAGUGAUUUGGAGAAAGCGGGAAUUGACCUGGAGAGACGACUCCGUAGCUGCGAGGAAGAGGGCAGCGGGGACAUUUUGGUGGAUCCGUUAAUGGUGGAAUGGUUCAACUUGAUUCGGAAGAAGCAAAGUUACAUACGGAGGGAAUCCGAGCUCAUGUACAUAGCAAAAACUCAAGUUUUAGAGGAGCAGCAGCCAGGAGUGGAAGGAGAGCUCAGGAGACUUAUUAAUAAACCAGAGCAUCUGAAAAGCCCUUCAGAAAGGAGGAGAGAGUCUGAUCUUAUGAAGAGGCUGGUGGAGAUCGUCAACGACAGGAAUGCCAUUGUGGACGGCCUGGAGGAAGACAGACGGAGAGAAGAGCAAGAAGAUCAGCAGCUGAAUGAAAUGAUGCACAGGCUUGGUCUACGGAAACUUAAAGGCAGAAGAAAAUCGUCCUUCUCGAAGUUAUUCAGGCGCAAAAGUAAAAAUGAGCGAAGGAACGAAGAAUGACCCAUGCCCAUGUCCAAGCUGGUGUUUCAGCCACACACAACCAGUGUGAUUUGUGCUGUGAGAUGAUGAGGUGCUGACGGUCCUCAAGGAGGGUCUCUGAACUAAUGUAGUAGUCUGUGGAGCUUUGGAUAUAGACAUUGUGUUCUCUGUAGAACUUUGCUGGUGGAUGUGUAUGGUGGACUGGAUUUCACACGACCUGUCUGUGGCACAUCAUGAGGUACAAAGGGCAAUGUUUUACUGCGGGAAAGCACUAGCGCACACAGAUCCACACAUAAGUGCAGUGGUUAUUGCAGGCCUCUCUGACCUCCCUGCACCCGUAUUACCAUUAAAAGACAUCCUAAAGCUCUGUAAGAAAAAAUCACUAAAUUCAUAUAACCUUUAUGUAAUUUUGAUAAAUGUUUUUUUUUUUUUGUAAACGUUCGCUGUAUAGUUUCAGGUUUUGUAUGUCAU